RNAcentral lists this ribosomal RNA (125 nucleotides) under Diaphorina citri (Asian citrus psyllid). Lineage: Eukaryota; Metazoa; Arthropoda; Insecta; Hemiptera; Psyllidae. The record is from RNAcentral.
GCCAGCGGCGACAGCUCGUUGAAUUUACCAGUUCUCGAUGGAUCACUAAAGUUGCGCAACGUUUCCCGUGGUUUGUACCCGAAUGGGUGAUCAAUGACCAUCUGCACAAUCGCGUGCUGCUGGCU